AUGGGUGUCAAGUGUGGUGGUGUCGUGUGGUGUCUCCUGCUCGCCGGGCUCCUUCUCCUGGCCGUGGCCUCCGCGGCGGAGCGGGACACGGAGAAGGAGGAGGAGAUCCGGUUGUGCAAGAAGGUCUGCGACUGGAAGGCGGGGGAGGACACCGGGAAGGCCAGGGAGUGCAAGGAGCAGUGCGAGCGCCGCCGCCACGGCCACGAGCUGCUCCAGGAAGACGGCGACAGCUUCGACAGCUGCGUGAGCCAGUGCCGGGGCCAUGGGGGCUGGUGGGGGAAGGAGCGGUGGGAACGGUGCAGGCAGAUAUGCAGGCAACGCCAAGAAGGGGAGGGGGGCGACGACGACUUCGACGAGGGCGACAACGCCGACGACAGGUGCGACAGGAUGUGCCAGCGCUACCACGACCGGCAGGAGAAGAUGCAGUGCAUGAAAGGCUGCAGACAUGGCGAGUCCGGCCUCCUCCGCUCCGACGAGGGCCACAAACACGGAGACCGCUGCCAAACACAGUGCAAGCGCUUCCGGCCCGGGUCAUACGACAGGCAGCAGUGCAUCGAAAAGUGCCAGUGCCAGCAGAAGGAGGAGGAGGAGCUGAUGAACCACCACGGCGGCCACGAAAGCAGCAGCUGCGAGCAGAAAUGCCAGCAGCGACACCGCCACGAGUACGAUAGGCAGCAGUGCGUGCGAGACUGCAAAAGCGGCGGUGGCGGCGGCGCCGGUGGGCGUGGCCGCGAGGGCGACGAGCGCCAGCACGACAGGGGGAUGGUGGUCGAAGCCAUCCUCGAGGAGGUGUAA
Molecule: ribosomal RNA, 795 nt
Filed under: Triticum aestivum (bread wheat)
Lineage: Eukaryota; Viridiplantae; Streptophyta; Magnoliopsida; Poales; Poaceae
Description: partial small subunit ribosomal RNA
Source: RNAcentral